ACGAACGCUGGCGGCGUGCUUAACACAUGCAAGUCGAACGGAAAGGCCCUGCUUGCAGGGUACUCGAGUGGCGAACGGGUGAGUAACACGUGGGUGAUCUGCCCUGCACUUCGGGAUAAGCUUGGGAAACUGGGUCUAAUACCGGAUAGGAACCAUCUUUAGUGUGGUGGUUGGAAAGUUUUUUCGGUGUAGGAUGAGCUCGCGGCCUAUCAGCUUGUUGGUGGGGUAAUGGCCUACCAAGGCGGCGACGGGUAGCCGGCCUGAGAGGGUGUACGGCCACAUUGGGAAUGAGAUACGGCCCAGACUCCUACGGGAGGCAGCAGUGGGGAAUAUUGCACAAUGGGCGCAAGCCUGAUGCAGCGACGCCGCGUGGGGGAUGAAGGCCUUCGGGUUGUAAACUCCUUUCGCUAGGGACGAAGCUUUGUUGUGACGGUACCUAGAUAAGAAGCACCGGCUAACUACGUG
RNAcentral lists this ribosomal RNA (465 nucleotides) under uncultured bacterium. RNAcentral describes it as "partial 16S ribosomal RNA". It matches the Rfam family "Bacterial small subunit ribosomal RNA", at positions 29 to 507 of the family's 1533-position model. The record is from RNAcentral.